GACGAACGCUGGCGGCGUGCUUAACACAUGCAAGUCGAACGGAAAGGCCCUGCUUUUGUGGGGUGCUCGAGUGGCGAACGGGUGAGUAACACGUGAGUAACCUGCCCUUGACUUUGGGAUAACUUCAGGAAACUGGGGCUAAUACCGGAUAGGAGCUCCUGUUGCAUGGUGGGGGUUGGAAAGUUUCGGCGGUUGGGGAUGGACUCGCGGCUUAUCAGCUUGUUGGUGGGGUAGUGGCUUACCAAGGCUUUGACGGGUAGCCGGCCUGAGAGGGUGACCGGCCACAUUGGGACUGAGAUACGGCCCAGACUCCUACGGGAGGCAGCAGUGGGGAAUAUUGCACAAUGGGCGGAAGCCUGAUGCAGCAACGCCGCGUGCGGGAUGACGGCCUUCGGGUUGUAAACCGCUUUCGCCUGUGACGAAGCGUGAGUGACGGUAAUGGGUAAAGAAGCACCAGCUAACUACGUG
This 468-nucleotide ribosomal RNA is filed under the name uncultured bacterium. RNAcentral describes it as "partial 16S ribosomal RNA". It matches the Rfam family "Bacterial small subunit ribosomal RNA", at positions 28 to 507 of the family's 1533-position model. The record is from RNAcentral.